CCUGGCGGCAACAGCGCGGUGGUCCCACCUGACCCCAUGCCGAACUCAGAAGUGAAACGCCGUAGCGCCGAUGGUAGUGUGGGGCCUCCCCAUGCGAGAGUAGGGAACUGCCA
This 113-nucleotide ribosomal RNA is filed under the name Pantoea sp. ICBG 985. RNAcentral also lists the same sequence under 1 other name. The record is from RNAcentral. Lineage: Bacteria; Pseudomonadati; Pseudomonadota; Gammaproteobacteria; Enterobacterales; Erwiniaceae.